RNAcentral lists this ribosomal RNA (253 nucleotides) under uncultured bacterium. Its description in RNAcentral is "partial 16S ribosomal RNA". It matches the Rfam family "Bacterial small subunit ribosomal RNA", at positions 524 to 776 of the family's 1533-position model. The record is from RNAcentral.
UACGUAGGGGGCAAGCGUUGUCCGGAUUUACUGGGCGUAAAGAGCGUGUAGGCGGCCACGCAGGUCCGUUGUGAAAACUGGAGGCUCAACCUCCAGCUGUCGACGGAAACCGUGUGGCUAGAGUCCGGAAGAGGAGAGUGGAAUUCCUGGUGUAGCGGUGAAAUGCGCAGAUAUCGGGAGGAACACCAAUGGCGAAGGCAGCUCGCUGGGACGGUACUGACGCUGAGACGCGAAAGCGUGGGGAGCAAACAGG